AUUGUUUCAAAAAUCAGGUGCCUUUGCUGUAUACCUGGAGCCCUGGCAUGCUGAUAUUUUUGAGUUCCUUGAUCUAAGGAAGAACCAUGGCAAGGAGGAGAACCGUGCGAGGGAUCUUUUCUUUGCUCUCUGGGUUCCUGAUCUAUUCAUGCAAAGAGUACAAAAUAAUGAGGAUUAGUCCCUGUUUUGUCCUAAUGAAGCUCUGGGGUUGGCUGAUUGCUGGGGUGAGAAGUUUGAGGAAUUGUACAAGAAAUAUGAGAAAGCAGGCAAAGCGAAAAAGGUCAUUCCAGCACAGACCCUCUGGUUUGACAUUUUGAAGGCACAGAUUGAAACUGGCACACCUUAUAUGCUCG
This is a long non-coding RNA of Hordeum vulgare subsp. vulgare (domesticated barley), 353 nucleotides long. RefSeq lists it as uncharacterized. Lineage: Eukaryota; Viridiplantae; Streptophyta; Magnoliopsida; Poales; Poaceae. The record is from RefSeq and is a predicted model, not a curated record. The transcript has 3 exons.